CACAAUAGUAUACAAAUGCAUACCAAAAAGUCUGAAACAAAAAAGUGUGAAGGAGAAAUAAUAUUCCGAUUACACGAGGACGGCAAAUCAUAUAACGAGGUUGCCGAAAUUGCGAACAGAAGUAAGUCCACGAUACAUUAUAUCAUAAAAAAUCAAAGAAUAAGGGAAUACUUGCAAACAAAGCUCGAUCAGGUCGACCAAAAAAAUUGGCUGGAAGAGAGGAGAGAGUUAUCAUUCGCGAAUUAAAAAAGAUUCUACUACAUCCG
This 266-nucleotide unclassified non-coding RNA is filed under the name Bombus terrestris (buff-tailed bumblebee). Its description in RNAcentral is "misc RNA ENSBTSG00005031043.1". Lineage: Eukaryota; Metazoa; Arthropoda; Insecta; Hymenoptera; Apidae. The record is from RNAcentral.